CAAUUUCCAGACGGCCAACACCUGUUGUGUAGCUGAGGCCCCUGUUAGUGCCAUUUAAUCUGCUACUGUUCCCAAGAAGAAGAUGGUUACUUGCAUACCUAACACGAUGUCAUGCUGUUACGUCUAGAACUCCGGAGACUGAGAGAAUCCCACCUCAAUCACUAGAACAACUGGACUCAGCUUUUGCAACUGAAAAAUCAACACAACUACACUUUGAACAAGGAAUCAUUCAAACCGAGAAGGAAAACCAGCAAAAAGGUUAUACAUCACUGCAAAGCGCUUCUGGCUCUCUUAUGAAGGGUUUUACCGGAGGCUGUGGAGAAAGAGAGGAAGAGCAUCUGGCAGUGGCUGUGAAAUCCACCUUGGCUCUCUGGUGCUGGUUUCAAGGAUUUCCUCAAGAAGUCAAUACAAGAAUCCCUGCACGUGCUACAGGAGUUCGAAAGCAGAUUCAUGGAUCCAGCAGGUUCAUCUCCUACCAAAGCAGAGCACUAUCUCCUCUCCCUGGAUUCUGCACCAUCAGUGUCUGUCAGCAUGGGUCUGCGGACAGGGCUGCUCAGAGCCAAACGCUCUCAACAAAUGACUGGCAAGAGCGAUUCUGUUACCACUUAAACUGGAUCCAUUUCCCACUGUGGGAAUACAGUGUAUUAACAUAAAGCAGGAAACAGUAAAGGCCAUCUGGGAAGGAGGGUUGCACAAAGGAAAAAAUGAAGACAGUAAAAAGAAAAACAGUGGUUGUGAAACAGCAGCAGCCAGCCAGGUAACACAAGUAGCCUACAGUGAACUGCAGUAAACUGAAGAGCAGAAAGACCUGAUUGGUAAGGAAAACCGUAACAUUCUGAUGUGUGUGCACAUGCAUGCACAUAAAACUGUAUGUGACAUUCUGCAACAAAUCAGAUCCUCUUACCUGUGCAUUUUAACAAGGCCAAAAGCAGCUGAUUCUUCCCAUCUAAAACAGUGAAGAAAAGGAAUGCUCUGGUCAGCAUGAUACCAAGGCAACUUUGAUUGCAGUCUCAUGCCCUGCAAUCCCUGGCCCCUGUGUUGCUGCUUCUAUUUAUUCUAGUUACUCAACAGACAUGUUAAUGACUGAAAAAGUAACAAGAUGUAAAUAAAAACUGUUACAGGCUGAAGGCUCUAUUAACUACCAUGAGUUAUUGGAAACAAAUGGCACACACAGGCACACCCCUGAGGAGGCGACUUCUGCCCAGUGCUUUGCACUGGACUGUAAACAUCAGCUUCAGCUCCUGUUCCAAUCUGGCCAGGUGGCAUUGGUUUUGGAUGGUGAUUAACAUUCAUUUCACUUUGGAAUACACCAACCACCUCUCUCCUUUUUCUGAAAAGGUUAAAAAAAGCACAGGGAAAUAGAUCAGUCUGGCAUUGCUCUGUCUGAACAGGCUGAUGAAACAAAAUGUAAGAGGGAGUUCUGUGGAACUGCUGUAGCUGUGAGAUUUUACUCUGGCACACAACAACCUGCUUUACCUGUUCUCCACAGUUAGCAUAGCCUGUUACAAAUUGAGAUAAAAUGAUAAAAUGAAUUGCUACGACUUCACUAGAUCAAGAUUUUUUCUCCCUUAAGUCAAUAACAACCUUCUCUGUAUUUACCUUCCACAUGUUUUUGUAUGAUUUCAACGAGGUUCUUAAUGCGCAGCGGAAGGUUCCAUGGGUCUUCUUGAACGCUGGCUUGGAUAUUGUUCCGGCACCUAACUGUGGUUUCUUCCUUCUGCUUGAAUUCUAGAAAGAAUGGACUUUGUUAGCCAUUAAGGGAAAAACUACACAGCUGAGGGUGAGUUACAAUGCGUGCACAGAUGAAAGCAGAGAUACAGGCAUCCACAGCAACAACUGUGAAUUAAACCGCCAUGAACUGGCUUCAAGAGUCUCAUUCUGAAUAUAAUACUUUGCACAAUGAUGAUCUACAGGCUGAGGAGAUAAGAGAUAAAACCCAACAAUUCUCUGGAGCUAUACAACCACAAAGAGAUCUGCUGGCUAAGUCUUGGAGGCUCUCCCAAGAUCUGUAAAAGUAAUAUGUUAGAAUU
Molecule: long non-coding RNA, 2030 nt
Organism: Pogoniulus pusillus (Red-fronted tinkerbird)
Lineage: Eukaryota; Metazoa; Chordata; Aves; Piciformes; Lybiidae
Exons: 7
Source: RefSeq, a predicted model, not a curated record